Molecule: ribosomal RNA, 196 nt
Filed under: uncultured bacterium
Lineage: Bacteria
Description: partial 16S ribosomal RNA
Rfam family: Bacterial small subunit ribosomal RNA
Source: RNAcentral
CCUACGGGAGGCAGCAGUGGGGAAUUUUGGGCAAUGGGGGAAACCCUGACCCAGCGACGCCGCGUGGAGGAUGACGGCCUUCGGGUUGUAAACUCCUGUCAGGUGGGAAGAAAAGCUUGUCGGUUAAUACCCGGCAGGAAUUGACGGUACCACCAAAGGAAGCCCCGGCUAACUCCGUGCCAGCAGCCGCGGUAAU